Molecule: transfer RNA, 75 nt
Organism: Methanoplanus limicola DSM 2279
Lineage: Archaea; Methanobacteriati; Methanobacteriota; Methanomicrobia; Methanomicrobiales; Methanomicrobiaceae
Rfam family: tRNA
About the family: Transfer RNA (tRNA) molecules are approximately 80 nucleotides in length. Their secondary structure includes four short double-helical elements and three loops (D, anti-codon, and T loops).
Source: Rfam
GCUGAUAUAGUGUAGUUCGGCCAAUCAUGCAGGACUCUCACUCCUGCGACUGGGGUUCAAAUCCCCAUAUCAGCA